UGGGGAAUAUUGGACAAUGGGCGCAAGCCUGAUCCAGCCAUGCCGCGUGAGUGACGAAGGCCUUAGGGUUGUAAAGCUCUUUUUGGCGGGGAAGAUAAUGACGGUACCCGCAGAAUAAGCUCCGGCUAACUUCGUGCCAGCAGCCGCGGUAAUACGAAGGGAGCUAGCGUUGUUCGGAAUCACUGGGCGUAAAGCGCACGUAGGCGGAUGUGCCAGUCAGGGGUGAAAUCCCGAGGCUCAACCUCGGAACUGCCUCCGAUACAGCACGUCUCGAGUCCGGAAGAGGUGAGUGGAAUUCCUAGUGUAGAGGUGAAAUUCGUAGAUAUUAGGAAGAACACCAGUGGCGAAGGCGGCUCACUGGUCCGGUACUGACGCUGAGGUGCGAAAGCGUGGGGAGCAAACAGGAUUAGAUACCCUAGUAGUCCCUGAGCGGGCUGGCAAGGCGCAU
RNAcentral lists this ribosomal RNA (448 nucleotides) under uncultured bacterium. RNAcentral's name for it is "bacterial SSU rRNA". It matches the Rfam family "Bacterial small subunit ribosomal RNA", at positions 355 to 825 of the family's 1533-position model. The record is from RNAcentral.